GAUGAACGCUGGCGGCGUGCCUAAUACAUGCAAGUCGAGCGAACAGACGAGGAGCUUGCUCCUCUGAUGUUAGCGGCGGACGGGUGAGUAACACGUGGAUAACCUACCUAUAAGACUGGGAUAACUUCGGGAAACCGGAGCUAAUACCGGAUAACAUGUUGAACCGCAUGGUUCAACAGUGAAAGACGGUCUUGCUGUCACUUAUAGAUGGAUCCGCGCCGCAUUAGCUAGUUGGUAAGGUAACGGCUUACCAAGGCAACGAUGCGUAGCCGACCUGAGAGGGUGAUCAGCCACACUGGAACUGAGACACGGUCCAGACUCCUACGGGAGGCAGCAGUAGGGAAUCUUCCGCAAUGGGCGAAAGCCUGACGGAGCAACGCCGCGUGAGUGAAGAAGGUCUUCGGAUCGUAAAACUCUGUUAUUAGGGAAGAACAAAUGUGUAAGUAACUAUGCACGUCUUGACGGUACCUAAUCAGAAAGCCACGGCUAACUACGUG
Molecule: ribosomal RNA, 497 nt
Filed under: uncultured bacterium
Lineage: Bacteria
Description: partial 16S ribosomal RNA
Rfam family: Bacterial small subunit ribosomal RNA
Source: RNAcentral